This is a non-coding RNA of Triticum aestivum (bread wheat), 133 nucleotides long. The record is from Rfam. Lineage: Eukaryota; Viridiplantae; Streptophyta; Magnoliopsida; Poales; Poaceae.
UUAUUACUCCCUCCGUCCCAAAAUUAUUGUCUUAUUUGUCUAACUACGGAUGCAUCAAGUCACAUUUUACUAUUAGAUACAUUCAUAUCUAGACAAAUCUAAGACAAUAAUUUUGGGAUGGAGGGAGUAUUUA